Molecule: small RNA, 3354 nt
Filed under: Rattus norvegicus (Norway rat)
Lineage: Eukaryota; Metazoa; Chordata; Mammalia; Rodentia; Muridae
Description: uncharacterized LOC102553349
Source: RNAcentral
GGUUGCCCUCCCUUUGCCUGCUCACUCCUGUUCUCUCUGGCAAAUCCAUUCCUUCACUGGCAUUAGAGCAUACUUCUGAGGGAUUCCAGCAUCUACUGAAGCACAACUGAGACAUCCAGCCUCAUGGACUGAACAACUACUGGAUUCUUGGAUGUCAGAAUUGUGAGCUGGAAUCAGCUGGCCAAAAUGCGUCAUCCCCAUGUAAAAUCCAACCCUGGGGUCUGCAUGUCAAUGGCAUAGACACAAAGGGGGAUAUGGGGAGCUGAGAAGUAGCUCAUGUGAAACCAUUCAGUAGACUGAACAAGUGAUGGAUGAUAUGUCUGCAGUGUUACAAGCACAGUGUGAGGGUCGAGUAUUUAGAAUGCUCAUUAGGAGUGAUGGAAACUUAAAACAAAAAAAUUGAGGGUCUGCUCUUCUCUGGAGUGUCACUUCUUGGUGUUUAGGAGGGAAUGACCAUGGUUAGAGGAGAGUGUAGGAUGAAGAAGGGCCUCAACCCUGGCCUUCAGAUGCCAUGGUUUGGAGCUCAGGGCUCUGUGUGACACAACUUGCUCAGACACAUACUCCAAAGGUUCCAAUUAGAGCCCUGUCUUGUGGAUCGUUGAAGGCCUUUAUCUCAGAAAGUGGGACAGGUAGACAUACCAAACAUGACCAGUCCACACUGGGAAGUGCUAAAAAAAAUUAUAAAACAUGUCUCAGAAUUUGAAGAUUCAUCAUGAAUAGAAAUUUAUAAAAUAUCAAACCCAUCUUAAUAAGUUGCCCUUAGGAGCCCAGCUGUUUCUUCUCUCAAAUCUGAAGCAUGCAGGUAAAUUAACCUGCUCAGGGGAUAACAGGAGAGAUGGAAAAUGUUGUUCCUCACUUGGAAGGGACUGAGAGCAGAGGACCUGAAGAGACUCUGUGGAGUGCAUGGGUCAAGGAAAGGACUUACAAUACCCUUUUCCCCCAAGCCAGAGACACACAGAACAGAACACAGAGGCUUCAAAGGCUCUGACUUGACCCCCCACCCUCUACAGUACCAAGUGGGGACUGCUGGGUCUGAUGAUCCAAAAGCUUUGACAUCAACCCAGCCCAGCUGUGCCAGUAAUUAACUGUUAGAUUUUAUUUUCUAUUAUGGCCUCCCCACUCUUGCUUAUAUGUCUCCUGAUGGCUUCACUUUUGUCUGCAGCCUGAUUCUAGGUUUUAAGCUUCUUAUGUGUCACUCAGCAAAUGAGACAUUCUCUGCCCAUACCUCUUACGCAUCCCCUUUUGUUUCUACAUCUCCUCCUCUUAUUAUUUCUUAAUUAGAACCUUCUAUAGCUUUGACAGUCUCUAAAAUCUGCAGUCCUUAACUCUUCCCCUCCCAGUUCCUUUAAAUGCCUCAAUUCUUUUCUUUUUAAAGUGGAUCUUCUACUCUUUCCUAUUCUCACCAACCCUACUUCCCUCCUGACCUAAUCUAACUAACAUGUGAAUAUAUUCCAUACUAUCUUUGGUUAUUUAUCUUCUAGUUGUUACUGAAGUCAAUGAGGACACUGUUGUUAAUGGACUAGCACAACAUUUGCAUAAAGGCCCAUAUCCAGCAGCUGUUCCUGUAAUUAAUAUUCUAUUCAGAGAAUAAUAUACAGUCCACAUCAGGCACCCUGGGCUCCUAGACAGAGGAACUAUUUUCUGAACUAUGCACCUCGGCUCUGCCAUAUCCAAGUCCCCCAAGUACUUCCAAUAAUUCAAUAGAAAGAAAAGAGCUGAUAAAAAUAAAGUCUGAAACAACAAAAUAACCAAGGUGUAAAUCCCAACUCUGUGCCAAGAACCCAAAACCCACAGAUUUUCCAAUAAUUACUGGGAAUGAUACCUAUUGAGAGUGAGUUAGCUGAAACUCUAGAGAACUAAAGGGGUUGUGGGUUUGUUCAAAUAAACUAAAGAGGAAUCGAAACUCCUGCUCGAACACAGAAACAGCUGAAUAAAAAGAGGAGGGUGGUGUGAGACAUGAACAAGGAAUUUAACCAAGAGGAGGACUGAAGAAAAACUGCCCUGACAAAAGUCAAAUCAAAAGCUCUGAGGAAAGUGUCAGCAAGAGAGAGAAUGGGCGAAGGACAAGGAGAGAAUCUGGCCUGAGGACAGGGAGGAGGAGGAAGAGCAGUCAGAAAGGGACAAAGAUUAACAAAGAAGGAGGAGCUUGUGGGAAUUCCAAGACAAGUGUGACCAUGAAAAAGGCGACUCUGUGGGUUACAGGCAUAGAAAAGGGAAGAGAAUCUCACUCUAAAGGCACAGAAACCAUCUGCAAGUCAAUCUUAAGAGAAACCUUCCCAGAGCGAGGAAAACUCAAUCUAGGUACAACAGGUAUUUAGGUCAGCAAACAGAAAAGCCCCUAUACUACCUCCCCUUCUCACUUUAUAGCUGAAACACUUAACUAUACAGAAGAAAGGGCAUGCCCAGAGAGCAACAAAAGAGAGUCAGCAGGGCAAGCCUAGUGCCAUAAAAGCAGAAGGACCAGUUGAAACUUGAAAAGCCAGGAGGUCUUGGAAUAAGGUAUUGCCAAAUUCUGAAAGACAGUAACAGCCCUUCCAGAGUCCUGUAAGGUUUAGAGUCAAACCAAAUCAGAUUAGUUUUUUGCCCUCAUGACCUCAAUCUCAGGUUAGUGAUUCUUCUCAUUUGUGUGACAGAAUGCCUUGCAAAAGCAACUCAACGUAAAACUAAUUAUUUUAGUUCACCGUUCAAGGCUGCAGUCCAUCAAAGCCAUUUGCUUUGCAUCUGCACUCAGGAAUCAGAGAGAGACGAAUGGAUGAUCAGCUCCAUGUCUUAUUCCCACUCAGGCCAGGACCCUCACUCGUGGAAUGGGGCAGCCCACAUUCAGGGCAGACAGCAACUCUUUUGGGGAUUAACUACCCAUGAUCACACCCGCCUUCAAAAGAGGAAUCCGAACUUGAGCGCUGACUGGCUCAGGCUGGCUUGCUCCUGAGCUCACGAUCUGAACCACGGGUACCAGAAAGGGUCUUUGUCUCUUCCUAGGUCCCUAUUUGUGUGUCUUGAGUGACUUUCCUGAGAAGACAUGAACAAAUGUCUAUUUGUGCCAUGUGGGACAGCAGUCACAGACUAAAGAAACAGGGCCAUCAAUAUCUGACUUGGAAGCCCAGCUAGACUGAUGAACCAAUGAGGUUUUGCCAAACAUCGCAGCCCAGCAUGGACAACACCUCACAGAGAAUUCACAUCCCGAGAGCCCCGACACAGCCAGCAGACUGCUCCAUGGAACAGGAACAGUUCACUUUGAAGGAAAUAGCUACACAAUGCUAUGUUGCCACCAUGUUGAUUCUCAGCUUCUCCAAGCCCACCCACCACAACCACUAACUUUCAGACUAUUGGAUACAUUAAAGGUACUUAUGCACA